UACUUUUUAAUAACUAAAGAAAAUAUAUUGGGUUUGCAUUUAAUAACAAAUUUUAAUUUUCAAAUAGUUACUAAAAUUACAAAUUAUUUAGUUUUAACAUUGAUUAUACAUAGUAUACUAUGUAUAAACAAUGGUUUUAACUAUCCAUUUAUUUAUUUUUUAUGUUAAAAAAUCAAUUACUGUUUCAACUAAGUGAAUAUAGUUAAAUAGUUGAACUCAUAUAAUAACAUUGUCAUUUAACCAAUCUUAUUUUUAAUUGUAAUAUAACCCAAAGAGUACACUCGAGUCAAAGUAAAUUAUUGAAUAGACUACCUUUAAGCUAUAUAUUUUUAAGUCUUCUAACAUUUCCGGGAAGUAUGACAAAAAAUGGAUAUUUGAUGAGUGUUGACUUUGGAAUUGAAUUUUAGAAUUUCAUGAUUUGGUUUGGGAUUAAAUUCAAUGUAUUACAAAUUUAUUGGAAAUAAAAUUGAAAAAUAACAUGAAUUGGGGAUGUAAAAUAAAAAGGUAACUAAUAAAGAAUUAUUACAAUAGGCAAUUUGUAUUUGAUAAUGUAAUUAUAUAGAUUGAAAUUCAAAAAAAAAAAACUAAUGAUGAGUGAAAUAACUAAGUUUUAGAUGUUAAUAGUGUUAAUACUAUAAAAUAUUCAUUGAAGUUAUUAUUGUUUAAUGGUUGGCUGAAUUUAUGAUCAUUUAAAAACAAUAACAAUAAUAUUAAGAACUACCUAUAUUAUAUGUAUUAUUUUAAUGAUAGUAAUUUCCUGACAAGCCUAUAACGGUAUAUAGAAAAAAUAAGUAACAUAUAAAAAGAAAGUAUUAAUUUAUUAAACAGAAAUUUGUAAACAACUUGAUGACACCAUGUUAAACAUUCUUACACAAAACUUGUCAGUUAAUUUGUGUGCUACAAUUAAAUGAAUAAUAAAAAUGUCUACCUGUUCA
Molecule: long non-coding RNA, 935 nt
Organism: Aphis gossypii (cotton aphid)
Lineage: Eukaryota; Metazoa; Arthropoda; Insecta; Hemiptera; Aphididae
Exons: 3
Source: RefSeq, a predicted model, not a curated record